GCAAGUUACACAAAUUGUUUCACUUGGAACUUUUUACUACAACCUUUACAAUGAAAUUCGUCGUGGUAUUCGUUAUGUGCCUGAUCGCCAUGGCGUCUGCAGCCCCCCAGUUGAUCUACCCUUUCAACGGACUUGUGGAUAAUCUGGCUUCUCAGACUGUGAUUGCUGGUCCGACUGUGGUCAACCGAGGCCUUGCAGGUUUCGGUGCAGGCCUAGUGGCGCCCGGAUUCGCUGACUUCUUG
Long non-coding RNA from Papilio machaon (common yellow swallowtail), 242 nucleotides. RefSeq lists it as uncharacterized. The record is from RefSeq and is a predicted model, not a curated record. NCBI's taxonomy places the organism in Eukaryota, Metazoa, Arthropoda, Insecta, Lepidoptera, Papilionidae. The transcript is spliced from 3 exons.